Molecule: non-coding RNA, 966 nt
Organism: Peromyscus leucopus (white-footed mouse)
Lineage: Eukaryota; Metazoa; Chordata; Mammalia; Rodentia; Cricetidae
Source: the annotation of a RefSeq genome assembly
GAAAGAGCCUCUGCAGUCAACAGCCAUCUGUGCAGACAACUGAACUUGCACUGAGUGCUGUGGAGGACAGAGGAGGAGAGCUGAUCACAGAAGCAUCUGGCCUGGUGAAAACCACAGUCCCUAGGGAGAGCUAUGAAGACAUUGCCUGGACCUUUUGUCCUGUGCUUGUGGCUGCAGCUGAACUGUGUGAGCAGAGGAGAGCAGCUGGAGCAGCAGCCUUCUCUCCUGAGUGUCCAGGAGGGAGACAGCGCCGUUAUCAACUGCACCUACACAGACACUAAUUAUUACUUCUACUGGUACAAGCAGGAGCCUGGGGCAGGUCUCCAGCUCCUUAUAAAUGUUCCUUCAAGUGUGGACAGAAAAGAAGAACAAGGACUCAUUGUCCUACUGAAGAAAAAGGACAAACAACUCUCCCUGAACUUCACCGCUGCCCAUCCUGAGGACUCAGCCACGUACUUCUGUGCAGCAAGUGCACAGUGCUCCCCAGGCAUCCACUGCCUGUGCAUAAAACUGAGACCAGGACUGGAGAAAGACAUAUUUCCCAUUAUUGAGAUGAGGAAUUCUCUGUAUUUUAUCUGUUUCUGGACAUACAACAAGUGCUAGAGCAUCUUGAAGGACCUCUUAAUAAGAAUAACUGAUUAUUUAUCAACAUGUAGACUUGACUGUCGGGUGCCAACUAGAUUGCCCCACUCCAAAUAUAUCUCUGUGUCACUUGUAGAGAAUAUUCAUCAUGAUGGAAAGGCUCUUAUCUUUUAAUAAAGGUACUUAAUGCAUCUAUUAGAAGAUUAUGAGUACACAGUGUAGGACAACCAUUAAAAUGUAAAGCAAAAUUUCCCAUAAAGUUUCACUACAAUUAGCACCAUACAGAGCAGUUUUGACUUCCACGUGUACCCUGGCAUGACUAUUUCCCAAUGCCAACCAUAAGCCUAUUUUUUAUGUUGUUAUGAUGUAUUUUACACAGCAUUC